This 71-nucleotide transfer RNA is filed under the name Candidatus Gottesmanbacteria bacterium RIFCSPHIGHO2_01_FULL_42_12. RNAcentral describes it as "tRNA-Pro". It matches the Rfam family "tRNA". Rfam says of the family: Transfer RNA (tRNA) molecules are approximately 80 nucleotides in length. Their secondary structure includes four short double-helical elements and three loops (D, anti-codon, and T loops). Lineage: Bacteria; Candidatus Gottesmaniibacteriota. The record is from RNAcentral.
CGGAGAGUGGCGUAGUGGUAGCGCGCCAGGCUGGGGGUCUGGCAGUCCGAGUCCGAUUCUCGGCUCUCCGA